RNA transcript from Daktulosphaira vitifoliae (grape phylloxera), 2181 nucleotides. It is a transcript of the gene named DDB1- and CUL4-associated factor 8-like, with no coding region annotated. The record is from RefSeq and is a predicted model, not a curated record. The transcript has 11 exons. Lineage: Eukaryota; Metazoa; Arthropoda; Insecta; Hemiptera; Phylloxeridae.
UCAUAUAGGCUGUGGUUGUAAUGUUGUACUCAUGUUUAAAUUUAUUAUUAAAUAUCAAUCUUUAACUAUUAUCUUAAAACGUGAUAUGAAGUAUGAUUACGAUUAGUUUUUUUAUUGUUAUUUAAUAAUGUAUUAUUUACGUUAUAUAGUUGUGCAGUUGUGAGGCUAUGUAGUAGUCAUUUAAAACUUAAUUUAUUUGGAAAUGAAACAUCUUAUUAGCACUAAAAGUAAUAAAUUUUUGAAUAAAUGUUUAACUUCAGUUUAAAAUUAUUGAUUCAGCUUAAGAUUGCAAUCUAUAUUAUUUAUUAGUUAUAUAUUUGUAAUUAAUAUCUGUAUUCUGAGCACUAUGACUGAUUCAGAUACAGAUAGUUCAGAUUCUGAUCAUGCUAGUAUCUUUGCUAACAAUAAUGUAUUUCCUAUUUACAGCCAUUUAUUUAGAUUAUCAUCAAAUGAUAAUCCAAUAUUAGAGCCAGAAGAUGAAUCGGAUAGUGAUAAUAAUUUAGAUGAUCAUUCAUACAGUUCAUCUGGAAAUAGUGAUGCUUCAUUGCAUAACACAACUGAUGAUUCAAAUGAUGCUUCUGAUAAUUCAUCUGUUAACAUUUCAAACAUCACAUUUAUGCAAGAACAAAAUCAUGUUAAUAUUAAUGUUGAAGUGCCUAAACCUAAUUGGUGUACUCCUAAAGAAUUGUAUAACAGAGAAAUUGGAAAGUAUAAAAGACCUACUAAUUGGUAUAAUAAAUUUUAUCGCUCCUUAGUUGCUAUCCAAAAACUUAAAUUGAAUAAACAGUUAAAAGGUCACCAAGGUUGUGUAAAUGCACUAGACUUUAAUUCUUCUGGUGAUACUAUAGCAAGCGGCUCUGAUGAUUUAAAAGUUUGUCUUUGGAAUUGGUCAUUAGGAAAAUGUUUGUUAAAAUACAAUAGUGGCCACUCCGAACAUGUUUUUCAGACCAAAUUUCUGAUGUCUCAAAGUGAUAUUCGUAUAGUAUCAAGUGGUCGUGAUGGUUUAGUAAUACUUUCUGCCGUUGGAAAAAGUGAUGUUCAUUUUAACAAAAUUUUAGCAUCUCAUAAUCGUUCUUGCAAUAAACUUAGCGUACAUAAAGAUUUGCCCUAUGUUGUUUUAAGUUGUGGUGAAGAUGGUGUAGUAAAAUCAAUUGAUAUCCGUGAAUCUCCGAUAAACGAAAAUGUUAAUUCCACUAAUAUACAACAUAUUCGACGUAAUAAUGGUUCCGUUGUACGACUGUAUGAUAUCAACACAAAUCCUAUGAACCCUUUUGAAUUUAUUGUAAUUGGUGAUGACAAAUAUGUGAGAUUAUAUGAUAAGAGAAAAACAACUCAUGAUCCUGUAAAAAAAUUUCAUCGAAUACUUCCUUCAUCUAGGAGCUAUUCAAGGCCUCGACCCAGAGAAUCACACAUUACUUCAGCUGUUUUUAACUAUUGUGGUACCGAAAUUCUGGCCUCAUAUAGUGAAGAUGAUAUUUAUUUAUUUGAUGUUAAUGGUUCACCGGAUACAUAUUUACAUCAAUAUGGAGGUCAUCUUAAUAGAAUGACUAUUAAAGGAGUCAAUUUUUAUGGUCCUAAAAGUGACUACGUUAUAUCUGGGUCAGACUGUGGUCACUUUUUUAUAUGGGAUAAAAAGACUGAAGCAAUAGUUCAAAAAAAGCAUGCAGAUGCUAAUGGAGUAGUAAAUGUAUUAGAACCUCAUCCACAUAUGCCUACUUUAGCAACCAGUGGUUUGGAUAAGACAAUUAAAAUUUGGCAACCACUUAAUAAAUGUCAACAACUCAAUAUUGAAAAAUUAAAAAUGUCUAUUAUAAAAAACAGAAUGGAAAGAGAACGCAGAAUAAGAGAAUCAAAUCACUCAUCAUUCAUGGUAAAUGAAAUUAUAUAUAUUUAAAUAUAUAUAAUUCAUAUCUAACAUUUUCAAACAGAGGUCAAUUUUGUAGGCUUUUGAAGCUACUUUAAAAUCAUAGAGGAUUGUGGGAAGGCCUUACACUUUAACUUCAAGAUAUCUUUAAAUCUUCAAAAUUUAACAAUAUUUGAAUUUAUCUGUUAUUUAUGCACAUUAUUUUCUUUGAUUAAAAACAAAAUUAUACUUUAGUAUCAAUUAAGAUAAUUGAAAUAAAAAAAUAUAAAUAUGUUUUUAUUAAUAAAUACAUAUUAAACAAAAUAUAAAUAAUAAUA